RNAcentral lists this ribosomal RNA (497 nucleotides) under uncultured bacterium. Its description in RNAcentral is "partial 16S ribosomal RNA". It matches the Rfam family "Bacterial small subunit ribosomal RNA", at positions 28 to 507 of the family's 1533-position model. The record is from RNAcentral.
GAUGAACGCUGGCGGCGUGCCUAAUACAUGCAAGUCGAGCGAACGGACGAGAAGCUUGCUUUUCUGAUGUUAGCGGCGGACGGGUGAGUAACACGUGGAUAACCUACCUAUAAGACUGGGAUAACUUCGGGAAACCGGAGCUAAUACCGGAUAAUAUUUUGAACCGCAUGGUUCAAAAGUGAAAGACGGUCUUGCUGUCACUUAUAGAUGGAUCCGCGCUGCAUUAGCUAGUUGGUAAGGUAACGGCUUACCAAGGCAACGAUGCAUAGCCGACCUGAGAGGGUGAUCGGCCACACUGGAACUGAGACACGGUCCAGACUCCUACGGGAGGCAGCAGUAGGGAAUCUUCCGCAAUGGGCGAAAGCCUGACGGAGCAACGCCGCGUGAGUGAUGAAGGUCUUCGGAUCGUAAAACUCUGUUAUUAGGGAAGAACAUAUGUGUAAGUAACUGUGCACAUCUUGACGGUACCUAAUCAGAAAGCCACUGCUAACUACGUG